GGACAGGUGGCCGAGUGGUUGAAGGCGCUCGCCUGGAAAGCGGGUAUACGUUAAUAGCGUAUCGAGGGUUCGAAUCCCUCUCUGUCCGCCA
RNAcentral lists this transfer RNA (91 nucleotides) under Alcaligenes endophyticus. Its description in RNAcentral is "tRNA-Ser". It matches the Rfam family "tRNA". From Rfam's summary of the family: Transfer RNA (tRNA) molecules are approximately 80 nucleotides in length. Their secondary structure includes four short double-helical elements and three loops (D, anti-codon, and T loops). Lineage: Bacteria; Pseudomonadati; Pseudomonadota; Betaproteobacteria; Burkholderiales; Alcaligenaceae. The record is from RNAcentral.